This 465-nucleotide ribosomal RNA is filed under the name Vreelandella stevensii. Its description in RNAcentral is "partial 16S ribosomal RNA". It matches the Rfam family "Bacterial small subunit ribosomal RNA", at positions 338 to 795 of the family's 1533-position model. Lineage: Bacteria; Pseudomonadati; Pseudomonadota; Gammaproteobacteria; Oceanospirillales; Halomonadaceae. The record is from RNAcentral.
CCUACGGGUGGCUGCAGUGGGGAAUAUUGGACAAUGGGCGAAAGCCUGAUCCAGCCAUGCCGCGUGUGUGAAGAAGGCCUUCGGGUUGUAAAGCACUUUCAGUGGGGAAGAAAGCCUUGGGGCUAAUACCCUCGAGGAAGGACAUCACCCACAGAAGAAGCACCGGCUAACUCCGUGCCAGCAGCCGCGGUAAUACGGAGGGUGCGAGCGUUAAUCGGAAUUACUGGGCGUAAAGCGCGCGUAGGCGGUCUGAUAAGCCGGUUGUGAAAGCCCCGGGCUCAACCUGGGAACGGCAUCCGGAACUGUCAGGCUAGAGUGCAGGAGAGGAAGGUAGAAUUCCCGGUGUAGCGGUGAAAUGCGUAGAGAUCGGGAGGAAUCCCAGUGGCGAAGGCGGCCUUCUGGACUGACACUGACGCUGAGGUGCGAAAGCGUGGGUAGCAAACAGGAUUAGAUACCCCGGUAGUC